Molecule: long non-coding RNA, 1425 nt
Filed under: Marmota monax (woodchuck)
Lineage: Eukaryota; Metazoa; Chordata; Mammalia; Rodentia; Sciuridae
Rfam family: tRNA (bases 106-168)
Source: RNAcentral
CAUCUGCCCACCCUGAACAUCAGAGAGAUGGGUAGAUGUGCAACUUCCAGUAUACUCCCUUCAGAGUAGCACCUACCAUGGUAGUGAAAAAAGUCUCCAGGGACUGGGGAUAUAGCUCAGUGGUAGAGCGCUUGCCCAGCAUGUACAAAACCUUGUGUUCUAUCCCCACCACUACCGAAGGAGAAGGAGAAGGAGAAGGAGAGCUCCUGUUCUCAAGCUGAGGUGAGUCCUCUCAAAAGGCUUGGAUAAGGGAGAAUGGGAGCUUUCUCUGGCAACCAGGUGAACCUGAGCCCCCGGCUGCUCCUGCCAAGUCCUCAGGUCUAGUACAUCUAGGAAGGAUUUUCUUCAUGCAGGAAGCCCUUCUCCUCUACAAGCAGCUCCUUGGGCAGCCAUGAUGGAUACCUGGGAAACAUGAUAGCCGCCAAAGAGGCAGAGAAAAGAGUAAGGGCUGGGUGUGGUCGUAUACACCUGUAGUCCCAGCUAUUCAGAAGGCUGAGGCAAUAGGAUCACUUCAGCCAAUGAGUUAAAGACCAACCUGGGCAACAUAUAGAGAUCCCAUCUCAAUUAAAAAAAAAAAGAAAAAAGAAAGAAAGAAAAGAGAAAAAAGUGGGGGGGGGGGGUGGGGGGGGGCAGUGGUGUUUUUUCUGGCCUGUGAGGUUGGUCUCUGGCCCGGUGCCUGGUGGCUGCUGUACCUCGUGGGAGGAGUUUGGCUCCGGGAGGGACUAGGAGAAACAAGGAAAGAGACUUUUCAGGAAAACUGGGUUCUGAGUUCAGCCUCCACCCCGCCUCCCUCCUCCCAGGGGACUGUGGAGGGAGAGCUGGGAGGUAAGCCACCAUGUCUGGUGCUGUCCACUUUCUGCAACCCUCCUGACUCUCCCCCGCAGCCAGGGCCAGAACCCCAACUCAGGUAUCUGUCGGGGUGGACUUCAAAUCAGGACCCCUGUGGUGAUGUCUAGCUCCCCACUGGCCCCAAUCCUGCCACUGGCAAACCUUCCCUUUAAUUGCCCUGGCUCCGCCCCCAAGACCCCCUGAUGUUUGUGGCUGUGGUGGUCCUGCCCACUCCCUGGCUAGUUGCUGAGUGUUUCUCUCUAGAGGAGAAGGGCCAGGGGUCAAGAUUCCCUCCCUGAGUUUUCAGCCAGUGAGAAGGAGGAGGCUGAGGCAGCAAGAGCUGAAAUUCAGUUGGCCUAACUCUACUCUUGGCAAGAAGCUGGGUUGUUUUUGCAGUCUGUGUGAGAUAUGAAGGCAGAGGCUGGGAGGGAGGAAACCAAAGAGAGAGGUUACCUCUGCCCUCUCCUUCCUCUGCACUUCAUAUAGGGCAAAAAACAUAAGUUUUGGCUGGACAUGGUGGUCCAUGCUUGUAAUCCCAGCUACUUGGAAGGCUGAGACAAGAGGAUGGCAAGUUAGAGAACAGCCUGAGGGACUUAG